This 465-nucleotide ribosomal RNA is filed under the name uncultured bacterium. RNAcentral's name for it is "partial 16S ribosomal RNA". It matches the Rfam family "Bacterial small subunit ribosomal RNA", at positions 338 to 795 of the family's 1533-position model. The record is from RNAcentral.
CCUACGGGAGGCAGCAGUGGGGAAUAUUGCGCAAUGGGCGAAAGCCUGACGCAGCGACGCCGCGUGAGGGAUGAAGGUCUUCGGAUCGUAAACCUCUGUCAGCAGGGAAGAACGGUCACUGUGCUAAUCAGCAGUGAAUUGACGGUACCUGCAAAGGAAGCACCGGCUAACUCCGUGCCAGCAGCCGCGGUAAUACGGAGGGUGCGAGCGUUAAUCGGAAUUACUGGGCGUAAAGCGAUCGUAGGCGGUAUGUCAAGUCAAGGGUGAAAUCCCCGGGCUCAACGGGGGAACUGCCUUGGAAACUGGCAGACUGGAGUGUGUGAGAGGAUAGUGGAAUUCCAGGUGUAGGAGUGAAAUCCGUAGAUAUCUGGAGGAACAUCAGUGGCGAAGGCGACUAUCUGGCACAUAACUGACGCUGAGGAGCGAAAGCGUGGGUAGCAAACAGGAUUAGAUACCCCUGUAGUC